Physeter macrocephalus (sperm whale) is the source of this 332-nucleotide long non-coding RNA. RefSeq lists it as uncharacterized. NCBI's taxonomy places the organism in Eukaryota, Metazoa, Chordata, Mammalia, Artiodactyla, Physeteridae. The transcript has 3 exons. The record is from RefSeq and is a predicted model, not a curated record.
AAUUGUAUUACUCCCUGUGAGAUCGGAACCCAAGGUGAAGAGUUCCACGAUGUUACUGUUGGAGAUAUGACACACUUUGACUACCAAGGGCAAAGAGACCAAACUUCCCCACUGAGAAGUUUGCCCUUAUUGAGAAAUAUUCCUAUGACAAACUAAAUGAAUUGGAGAUGCCAGGCUGGAGCAAGGAGUUUGAAAGUGUUUGCCACGUACAGGGGAAAUAAGCAACUAUCAAAAGCUGGUACACUGGUUUUCUCCUGCCUUUGGACUGGGACUCAGACUGGAACUUAUACCAAUGGCUCUCCAGCUUCUCCUGCCUUUGGGCUUGGACUGGA